AAGGGGAGGACAACUCCAGCAGUGGCUUAAGAUGAUAACAGCAAACUAUGUCCUUCUUUCCACAGCCCUCCACCCUGAGAGAUUUGCCAUUUUAUGGAUGGAGCUCUGUGUAUAUAAUCCCAGGUCUCCAAACUAUAAAGGGGAUAAAGGUAGCUAUACCUGCAUUACUCUAAUUCAGUUCCUGUAGAUUUUCCUGAAGCAGAUUGAUAAAGAGUGGCUUUAGAUCCCUUAUGUCUCACCCUACAGUAACUGUCAUAUGGUUUCCGGGUUGUACCAAAGUUACUCCAGUUUUGAACAGGCUAAGGUGAGGAGCUGAGCCCUCUAAAACCUUGUGUCAUUUUACUUUUCCCACCUGUAAAAUGGAAACAAUAGUUCUUUACUGUUUUAUACAAAUAGUACUGGGAUGCUGCAGAGAUAAGAGACAAUCAGCUAAUCUUAUAAUAGGGAUAAUGAUCUUGGUGGAGAAUAAGGUAUUUUGCUCCAAGGAUAUUUAUGCCUACAUAAGCACAAGUGGCAAACAGGAAGAUGUGAUCCGAGUCUGCAGAAUGUUAAUUAGAUUGCAUGAGGGAAACUGUGAGGAUAAAAUGCAACAACAGCAUAGCUACCCUGCUGCCACAAUUAACUUCUCUCUUCAGAAGGCAGGAAAGCAUGGCUAGUACUUAGAUGCAGCCUGGAACUACAGUUCAUAUGCACAAUCUCUAAAAUGUUCAAAAAGCAAACUUAUACGUUUGGUAUGAAAGGAAAAAAUCUGGCAAUGAUGAGUUCAUUUUAUCCGAAGAAAUAUAAGCAAACUAAAAAUGGAAUAAAUAUAUUCAUAAAACUUACAAGAAGAAUUCAAAGUAUAUACGACAGGGCUAUCAUUUGGAGAAACAUAAGCAAGAGGAAUAUGCCAACGAAAACUUUAUGAUGUUCAACAAACUGCAAAUAAUCCUCAGCAACAAGAGAGGCUGAGGACUGGCACUGCAGAAGAGCACCUUGGGUAUUGGUUAACAGUUGGAUCGUGUCCUGAGCAGACUGGUUCAAGUGCAGAGCUGGCCUUGUUCUGAGCUGGAGCAACUCUUAAAACCUGAAUUACUCCUGUAUUUAUUCACACAAUCUCCUUGCCUUGUGCAAUCCUACCCGUAAUUGCUGGAAGAAUCCUGGAGCUUCGAUGCUGCUAAUUCAAACUGCUGCAGUGAUGGUCUAUGCAAUAUACUGAGUAUAUACAAUACACUCGGAGAACUUUACUCCUUCAAUUGCACACUAACUCAUGAAUGUCACAUCCGUAUCUGCAGUAUCAUGAAGGUAACAACAGUUUUACAAACACCUUUUGAGUCAAAGGGAUAUCAUUAGCAAUCUUACCAAAAAAACCCAACUUUACAACUAUCUUACCUUGCCUCUAACAUCAAAAGUUCUUCAGACAUUAGCCCUUAUGCCUGCUUUGGAAAACUUUAAAAAGAACUGCAGGAAAUUUGUGUAAAUUUUAAAGUUUCCAAAUUACUGGAACAGAAUUAGCUGAGAUCUGACUUUGAGAAAUGGCAGUCAUGGGGGGGGGAGGGUCACUCUUAAGCUCUAGGGCAUGAAGACAAGACAGACUAUAGGGGAAAAAUGACAUCUUCCCCUGGCUAGUUUCACUGUCUUUUGUUUGGGCCAUAUACAGCCUCAUAGGAGACUAGGGCAGACAAACAGAAGCAGUCUCUGUGCUGCUACUCUGUUUGCAGAGGAAGGAGUUAUUUUAAUAUUUUUCGUAGUGGCAAAGGUUGAGCUAAUAUAAAGGGAGGGCAGGUAUGUCAUUAGUCAACAGAGAGAAUCUUCUUUCCCUUGCAUCUGUGCAAAGUUUAUCAAAAUAUUUGUCACACAAAGGCCAAUACUGUCACAGAAGUCACCAUUAAGCACUGAACAACUCUGCCUUGUUCAGUUGUAGCAUCAGAUACACGCAAAAAAUCAAAUACUAUUUGCAUGAUAUUCUUCAUCAGCAAAGAUUAGUUUCACCUCUUGCACUUCUAAAGUUCUUGGCUCUUAUCUCUAAUUAUGUGCUAGCUUGCCCAGCUGCAUGGGGAAAUUGCGCUGAUAAAAUCUUUAGCACUCACUUAAACCUUUAAGAACAGGUUUGAUUUAAAUUACACAGAUAUCACUGACUCUUCCACAGGAACUCUGAGAUCAGAAUUUGCUGUCUAUUAUUAAUAAUAAAAGGAUUCAGAAUAGAUCUGUCAUGGAACGUGAAGCAGGACCAACUUUGCCUCUUGGGAUGUGAUCUAUGAGUAAAGAAUUUACUCCAGCAUAAUAUCCAAAUAAAGGCCUCAGCUGAAACCCACUGAAGUCAAUGGAAAGAUGCUCCAAGGAGCAGGCUGCAGACCUGGAGCUAGAGUGUUAUAUACCUCUCUAUCUCCCCUACAGUUGUACUCUUCCCAGAGCACCGCUGCCAAGCAAGAAGGUUGCAGAGGCUCAAAGCUCUAGUCUCACUUGCAAGAAGGUUGCA
Tympanuchus pallidicinctus (lesser prairie-chicken) is the source of this 2458-nucleotide long non-coding RNA. RefSeq lists it as uncharacterized. Lineage: Eukaryota; Metazoa; Chordata; Aves; Galliformes; Phasianidae. The record is from RefSeq and is a predicted model, not a curated record. The transcript is spliced from 2 exons.